RNAcentral lists this long non-coding RNA (555 nucleotides) under Mytilus galloprovincialis (Mediterranean mussel). Lineage: Eukaryota; Metazoa; Mollusca; Bivalvia; Mytilida; Mytilidae. The record is from RNAcentral.
CCGGUUCGUUUAGAGAUAUGUAUAUAGUCAGAGUAGACCUUCAAAGUAGAUAUGAUAUGAUAGAUGUGUAACAGAAAACGGAUAGUUCUAGCUGGGCGAUUACGAACGAAAUAACUGCCUUGAAUCAUUUUUUCUUGGAAACCUGUUCCGUUGUAUAUUGUGUACAAGUCGUUGUUUUCUCAUUGACAAUUGUAGUAUCAUCGUCUUCAGGAUUACUUGAAGUUGUGUUGUCAUUCGCUGAAAAAGAUGCCGGUGAGUGUUUUCAUUGGAGAGAGUGUUCUAAUUCUUUUAGGAGUAAUGGAUUUUUGCGGCGUGCACGAGUGCUUUUUAGAUGAACCUGCUGAUGAACUAUGAUGCAUUUUGGCUGGUGGAGGCUUCGGGCAUAUCUUAUAUUGAGGACUAUUUUGUGAUGUUUUGGUUUAUUGAGCCAUAGCCUUGACUUUUUUUACCAUGAUAGUGACUAAAAAGGAAAAGAAAUCGUUUACCAGCUUGAAAAACUAAAAUAUUUUAAGCCAUUUUUUUUUACUAUGAAUGAAAUCAAAAGCACAUGUCUUA